This 514-nucleotide ribosomal RNA is filed under the name uncultured bacterium. RNAcentral's name for it is "bacterial SSU rRNA". It matches the Rfam family "Bacterial small subunit ribosomal RNA", at positions 791 to 1310 of the family's 1533-position model. The record is from RNAcentral.
UAGUCCACGCCGUAAACGAUGGUCACUAGCUGUUCGAACUUCGGUUUGAGUGGCUAAGCGAAAGUGAUAAGUGACCCACCUGGGGAGUACGUUCGCAAGAAUGAAACUCAAAGGAAUUGACGGGGGCCCGCACAAGCGGUGGAGCAUGUGGUUUAAUUCGAUGAUACGCGAGGAACCUUACCAGGGCUUAAAUGUAAGUUGCAUGAUCUAGAGAUAGACUUUCUUCGGACUACUUACAAGGUGCUGCAUGGUUGUCGUCAGCUCGUGCCGUGAGGUGUCAGGUUAAGUCCUAUAACGAGCGCAACCCCUGUUGUUAGUUGCCAGCACGUCAAGGUGGGAACUCUAGCAAGACUGCCGGUGCAAACCGUGAGGAAGGUGGGGAUGACGUCAAAUCAUCACGGCCCUUACGUCCCUGGGCCACACACGUGCUACAAUGGUAGGUACAGAGGGCAGCCACAACGCGAGUUGGAGCGAAUCCUAAAAACCUAUACUCAGUUCGGAUCGGAGUCUGCAA